CCCUGGUUAGCUCAGUUGGUAGAGCGCUCCACUGGAAAGGGAGAGGUCCCGGGUUUGAUACCCGGACCAGGCG
Molecule: non-coding RNA, 73 nt
Organism: Ixodes scapularis (black-legged tick)
Lineage: Eukaryota; Metazoa; Arthropoda; Arachnida; Ixodida; Ixodidae
Source: Rfam